GCUCUUCUGUUGAUUGCUAUGUCCCUACUCCUGUCAUUUUUUCACUGACCUGGUGAGGUGAGGGGGUGAACCCCGAAGGGCGCUUUGGUGCCAAACGCAUGAUGUGUGCUGGGCCUGACCCGCUCUGGGGGUAGCAGCAGCAGGCGGGGAGUUUGACUAGGGCAGUUAAACUGUAAUGCUGGGGCCCAAAGGUGAGCUCAGGGAGGACAGAAACCUUCUAUGGAACAGAGGGGAAAAAGCUUACUUGAUCUAGAUAUUGUUAUGUAAAAUGUGAUGAUUAUUCGUUUUGUACUGCUGAUAGCACAAAAGACGUCUCA
This 317-nucleotide non-coding RNA is filed under the name Phoenicopterus ruber ruber. Its description in RNAcentral is "Eukaryotic large subunit ribosomal RNA". It matches the Rfam family "Eukaryotic large subunit ribosomal RNA", at positions 2476 to 2808 of the family's 3401-position model. Lineage: Eukaryota; Metazoa; Chordata; Aves; Phoenicopteriformes; Phoenicopteridae. The record is from Rfam by way of RNAcentral.